This 200-nucleotide ribosomal RNA is filed under the name uncultured bacterium. Its description in RNAcentral is "partial 16S ribosomal RNA". It matches the Rfam family "Bacterial small subunit ribosomal RNA", at positions 8 to 236 of the family's 1533-position model. The record is from RNAcentral.
AGAGUUUGAUCCUGGCUCAGAGCGAACGCUGGCGGCAUGCUUAACACAUGCAAGUCGCGCGGCCGGCAACGGCAGCGGCGGACGGGUGAGUAACGCGUGGGGAUCUGUCUCCGGGUGGGGGAUAACGAUGGGAAACUAUCGCUAAUACCGCAUGAAACCCGAGGGUCAAAGCAGCGAUGCGCCUGGAGAGGAACCCGCGU